GAGUAUACCAUUUGAUAACAGAGGAAGAGAAUGGAGUAAUGCAGCUACAAGCGAAAGUACACCAAUGAUUGCUGGCUCCCACUAGAAGCUAGGAAGAGGCAGGAAGGAUUCUAUCCAGAGUCUCAGAAGAAGCAAGACCCCACUGACAUCUUGAUUUCUGACUUCCAGACUCCAGAAAGCGAGAAAAUAUAUCUGUUGUUUUAAGCUAUCCAGUGUGAGGUACUUGGUUAUGGCAGCUUCAGAAAACUAAUACAACAGCAAUUUCAAUUUCUACUUUAUCUUCCUAGCCCCAAGAGUACCAUGUGGCUAUUAGAGUACAGGAUUAUGUAGGCUCUCAAAUCCCUUCCAUGGUAAAAGAAUGAUUGGGCUUCCAGCAGUGGCCAAGAAUUGCCAGACGCUUAUGAGCGCCUGCUGCGAGAUGCUUGUACAGUGAAUGCUCAAUAAAGUGGUGGCCAUUAUAACCGCAAGCAAUGAGACUACAUAAAUAGUAAGAAACGAAAUAGAACAAGGGGCAGCGGGAGCAAAGAGAGAAACAAGGGCAGCUGAGGAAGGAAGCCUCAAUUCCCCGGAGGACAUCCGCGGGCGGAGGAAAUGUGAAUCUGCAAGUCGUUCUCCCAGACCCCGCUUAACGAUUCCCGGCCCUUUCUCCACUCCCUACAGCCCUCGGACCCAGCAACAACCGGAUCCUGUGCAGGUCUUCCCUGAGUCCAACGCGAUUCUCCUGGAUAACGUCAACCAGCUGAGCGAUUCUGAGCCUGCGCGAAGCUCCUCGGCGCUUCCAGUAAUGUCACGCUGGUGCGUGGGGCGGGACUUCCUCUCACGCGCAGGAAACGAGAAGGGCUUUUCCGCCGGAAAGAGAGUGGAUUUACUAGGAAGGUGGGACGUUGGAGGGGUGGCCGCAUGGAGUGAGUACUGUCUCUGGCCACCGAGCAGAGCCAGUGACAGCAGCGUCCUGGUAGGCAGGCAGGCGUAUCAGGUUUCAGAGGAUGCGGCUGGGAACGGGAGUAGAGGUAUAUGAGCUCCCUGAAAGCACAAAGCAGUUAUUUCCAUCUUCAGAUCAUUCAGAGAUUAUGAAGGCACAAACCCUGCCUUCAAUUUGCUUAUAGUCAAGUGGAGCAGACACAAGUCAAUGAUUGCAGUAUAGCCACUGAAGUAAUCUAAAAGAGAGACGGGGUUUCGC
This 1180-nucleotide long non-coding RNA is filed under the name Homo sapiens (human). RNAcentral describes it as "non-protein coding SNHG21:22". The record is from RNAcentral. Lineage: Eukaryota; Metazoa; Chordata; Mammalia; Primates; Hominidae.